RNAcentral lists this long non-coding RNA (1022 nucleotides) under Bos indicus x Bos taurus (hybrid cattle). Its description in RNAcentral is "lncRNA (ENSBIXG00005021670.1)". Lineage: Eukaryota; Metazoa; Chordata; Mammalia; Artiodactyla; Bovidae. The record is from RNAcentral.
CAGGUUCAGGUAAGUCAAGCACGAGGUCAUCGAGGAAGUAUUUGAAUGUGAUUUUACUAUGAAAAAAUGUGAUCUCCAGUGUCUCAUUGACAUGGCAAAAGAAGUAGGAAUGAUGCCUGGAGGAUUGGAGUAAAUUCAAAACGCUCAGUUUUCUAAGGAUUAAAUGAAGUUUUGGAAAAACCUCAGUAAAAUUAACCUUCACCUGACAGACAUGUCCUUGAUUUGAAGCCCAGGGCAAUGGAAAAGAGAAACAAACUCAAAAGUGUGACAGCCUUACCCACUGCCUUUCCUUUUGUUGGGGGUUGACUGGGUGGUGGUAUUUAAUCACUAAGCUGUGUCUGACUCUUGGCGACCCCACAGACUAUUGCUUGCCAGGCUUCUCUGUCCAUGGGAUUUCCCAGGCAAGAAUACUGGAGUGGGUUGCCAUUUCCUUCUCCAGGGGAUCUUCCCAACUCAGGGGUUGAACCUGUGCCUUCUGCAUUGCCAGGUGGAUUCUUUACCACUGAGCCACCAGAGAAGCCCUGUGUGUAGAGGGUCAGAUUUUCCCCUCAGUGUUCUCUUUCAGCAGCUCCAUAGUGAGCUUUGUGAUUCUGACAAAGGCUACAAUUAUACCCACUUUGAAAUACAUUUACAAAUAUUCUGUGUGCUGGUGCAACUGGCAUGAAACACAGACAGCUCUCCCCGUUUCAGAUGACUACAAGCGGAAUUACCAGAAACAGUAGUAAAUUCCUGGCAUUGGAAGUUACCAUGAUCCCAGCUGGCAUGCAAAAAAAAAAAAAAAAAAGCCUGUUUCUUUUUUCCCCUGAAAAUAAUGUUCUUCCCAGGCACUGUUCAAAUGCCUCAAAUGAGGCAAAUGAGAGAUUUGUUUUGACCGACCAAUGAAAAGAUUUCCCUCAUCUCAGCUAAGGCCCUGAAAUGAGGCAAACGAGAGAUUUGUUUUGACUGACCAAUGAAAAGACUUCCCUCAUCUCAGCUAAGGCCCUGAGAUUUAGUUCCAAUAAACACAAAAUGUUUGUGUCUCA